CUGGCAUGAAAUGCCAAAUGCUAUCUGGAAGAAGGGAAACAUAAUCCCUCUGGGAAUUAUAUCAUAUACUUUUCUGCUUGUUCCCUCUUCAGGUAUGCAUAAAGCAUUUCGAACAGGAUUUCGCCCAAUUUAGGGACAAUAACUGUUUGGACGAUGUUAGAUAAGAAUCCUUCUUCUUAGGUACUUGUAGUGGAGGUUAAUGUUUUAUUGACAUGUGGGGUACUGCCUUCUGAACGAAUUGUGGGGCUUCAGUUGCAGGACCUAUAGGAAAUCCUGCAAGUUAAAAGGAAAGAUGAUUUAGUAUCUCCAGUUGAAGCAGGAUGGAUUACUCAUCUAUGAAGUUCUAAGUACUGUGAGCAGGUAUGCAAAGGGCUCUGUUCCAAGGUGCAAUACACGGCAUGUGAUUUUUGUCUGGUGGGCUACCAUCUAGCAACGCAAUGUUUUUUAUGUCCACAACUGUGCACCCAAGUUACAUUGAAACUAUAGGAGACACUAGGUCACAAGAGGCAAGAGUACGUUAGACAGCAAAGCAGAACUGUAUGAUAACAUUAAUCUUGAAUUCUUGGCCAUGACCUCACUAAGCAAGCAUGUCACAAGCUCCAGUUGUUGAAGUUUGCAACUUCCUCUUAUUUUUUCUUAUGGGGUCUUCAUUUAUUUUGAUAUGGAUCUGAUGAUGUUGUAGUUGCAUGCUUAUACCUAAAUGUGCAAGUUGCAUUAUGGCAUGGUAAAAAUAAAUAUAUGGUUUCACAUGGUCCAUUUUUAUUUCAUUUUGUGGAAUCAACCACUGCAGAAAGAUUAAUUCUUCCAGUCUUAUGGAGAAGUAUAAGUAGAAUAGUUCUAAACUCAUUGGAAAUUUUGGGUUGCAGGAUAGUAAAUAUAAGUUAAUUGAAGCCAUUGAACUUGUGUUGAUAGAGUCCCGCUCCCCCACUGUAGUAAUUCUGCUACACUAGUUUGGCAGGUCAGCAUGAUGUAUAAAGUUGUCCUGAGCUUGGUCUCUUGCCUUUAUCGGCUUCCUUACAAGCAUCUGAGUACCAUUGUUCUGUAGAAUGACCAGCAUUUUGUUUCCUUGUUAUCUUCUUCUAAGUAAUUCAACAUGUAAUGACAGUAGAAUUUGGUUAUUGCUGGGGGCUCUUAAAACUGGUUUUAAUUCUAUAUGGAUGCAGAAGAGAAGUUCAUCUUGUAUUCAUGCUAACUCAUCGGCAAUGCAAGAGCAGCACAGUGGAUGGAGGGGACAGAAAGGAGACAAAACUUGAUAAUGAGUUUGACCCCAACGCAAAAAAGAAAUGCGGAAAUUCUCUAAUUUCAUGGUCAAGACAAACAAGCCAUCAUCGGCUUUUAUCUGUAAAUGUUGCUUUACCUCUCUCAUGGAGGCACGUGACUGGACCACGUGGAUCGAGGUUGGUGUCCAACCAUCCAAGUCAGCGCUCGCGACUGGCAACAACAACUGUGAAAAUCUAUUUAUUUAUUUUUCGAAGAAAAGAAAGCCUCUCUCUUUAGCUUUCUCGUGAGGUCAUGACUAAUGAAUCAUGAUCCUUAACGUGGGCCCUAUCCGAUUGUUGUAAUGUUAUCGGCACCACCUUCGUACCAUAUACACAGGCCCUUCCUGGUGUGCUUGGCUCAGGGUCCCUAAGGCCUGGACUGGGUUGAGCUUUGUUCUGGCCCAUGAUCACCGCAUUUCGGAAGCCUAGUAGAAUGGGGGUAGUAGUUGUUGACAGACCUUCAACUAUUGUAUCAUCAAACAGCUGAUAUUCACCCCAAGACUUUGUACUUAACCUAAUCCAAAAGAUUGAGGAAUGUAUAACAACGAUCAGGAAUCAGGUAAUCGCGACACUCGCAAUUAUCCUUAAAAACUUAUCCGACCUCUGAACAUAUCCAUGGCACCGAUUUGGCUA
This 1892-nucleotide small RNA is filed under the name Theobroma cacao (cacao). RNAcentral describes it as "sRNA Tc01v2_g022600". Lineage: Eukaryota; Viridiplantae; Streptophyta; Magnoliopsida; Malvales; Malvaceae. The record is from RNAcentral.